GUGGGGAAUAUUGGGCAAUGGGGGAAACCCUGACCCAGCAACGCCGCGUGAGGGAAGAAGGUUUUCGGAUUGUAAACCUCUGUCCUUGGUGACGAAGGAAGUGACGGUAGCCAAGGAGGAAGCCCCGGCUAACUACGUGCCAGCAGCCGCGGUAAUACGUAGGGGGCAAGCGUUGUCCGGAAUGACUGGGCGUAAAGGGCGUGUAGGCGGCCGAUUAAGUCUGGAGUGAAAGUCCUGCUUUCAAGGUGGGAAUUGCUUUGGAGACUGGUUGGCUUGAGUGCGGAAGAGGUAAGUGGAAUUCCCAGUGUAGCGGUGAAAUGCGUAGAGAUUGGGAGGAACACCAGUGGCGAAGGCGACUUACUGGGCCGUAACUGACGCUGAGGCGCGAAAGCGUGGGGAGCGAACAGGAUUAGAUACCCUAGUAGUCC
This 428-nucleotide ribosomal RNA is filed under the name uncultured bacterium. Its description in RNAcentral is "partial 16S ribosomal RNA". It matches the Rfam family "Bacterial small subunit ribosomal RNA", at positions 354 to 796 of the family's 1533-position model. The record is from RNAcentral.